Molecule: ribosomal RNA, 279 nt
Filed under: uncultured bacterium
Lineage: Bacteria
Description: partial 16S ribosomal RNA
Rfam family: Bacterial small subunit ribosomal RNA
Source: RNAcentral
GUGCAGCAGCCGCGGUAAUACGGAGGGGGCAAGCGUUAUUCGGAUUUAUUGGGCGUAAAGGGCGCGUAGGCGGCUUGAUAAGUCAAAGGUGAAAUCCCUCGGCUCAACCGAGGAACUGCCUUUGAAACUGUCUGGCUAGAGUCCGGGAGAGGGUGGCGGAAUUCCCAGUGUAGCGGUGAAAUGCGUAGAUAUUGGGAGGAACACCAGUGGCGAAGGCGGCCACCUGGACCGGUACUGACGCUGAGAUGCGAAAGCGUGGGGAGCAAACAGGAUUAGAUA